UUCCUUCUGCUUUGUUUCUUAAGGUGAUAAGAAAGAGACAUAGAAAUUACACUUUCUAAUAAAUCUCCUCCUGCCAGUGGAGGCUAUAGAUACGGCUUCUAAGCCUACCCAUCCAAAAUCCAGUAUUUCUUCCUUUGCUCUCUGUAGAAUAUAAUUUCUCAUAACAUUCUGCUCAGACAUGUCUGGAAACACACAAUAAGCCUCUAUGGUUUUCAGAGACGUUUACUAAUUCCCCAUAAUUUUUUUUUUCUUCCCUGACUCUAAAAUAUAUAAAGUUUGACUUUCUGCUCCUCCUCUAGUUCCCGGCUCUAAACGUUUGGUUCAAUUUUCCUGCUUCCCCAUGGGGAAGCUUCUUCCAUUAUAAAAAUAAAUUUGAUUGGUAUCUGAGUUGGUUUGAACUUUUCCCCUAUCGUUGACUGGUUUCCCUUUUGCAGAUGCAUAUCCUCAACUGAUGUUUAAUUUCAGUCUUGAUGAAUUUUUGUUCUAAUAUUAAAAGUCUUCUUGCACAAGUUACGUACAAAUAAACUGGUAUUACAACUGGCAAAAAUAAAAUGCUCUGCCCAACUAUCACCAAUACCAUUUGUGAUGACUACUGACAUAUAAAUGUUAAUAAAAGCAUGAUUUUAAAGAGAAUGCAAGUUACAACAUUCUCAUUUUAUAAGUGUUUUGUUAAAUAUUUUAAUGUACUUACUAGGAUCAAAUCUGGAUAAUUCUUCUUUGGCUCUUGAAUUUGAACUACAUCCAGUCCAUUUUAAGGGUUAAUAAAAUUCAAAUUGAUUUUCACUAUCAAUAAGUGUUUUUUGAAAUUGUGUCUAGGAUUAGCAGUAAACUGAAUUUAAACAAAAACAAAUUCUUUGGCUAGUGUUUUAGCUUCUGAUCUUUUUAUCAGUAAAGAUCUCGUUUCAAAAUCUGUACUUUUACCAAAGUCUGAUCUUUUGUAUGGUUUGCAUAACUGACUCACCGAGUAUUAGCAAGACAGGAACUGCACUAUAAAUAAUGCCUUCUUUGCAAUCUGAUUGCCAUUUCCCUGUGUGUAAACUGAAAUACACAAAAACUCAUACUGUAACUGUUAAGUCAACUUGGGGGAAAUAAUCGGUAAGGAGAGCUGCCUUUCACAUUUACUGAGAUUGAACCUGUUUACAUGUUAACACAGGCGAUAGUGCUCGCAAAUCCCGAAAAAUAAUGUUAUAUUUCCCACUUGGGCAAAGAUCAAACCCCAAAACCUUUGCUCUUAUUGUAUAUUAAUUUUAUAAAAGACUAUGUGAAAGUUGACAGAAAGCAAUUUGAAAAUAUAUAGAAACACGCAUACACACAUUUUAUCUGUUGACCCAGUAGUGACACAUUUAAAAACCUCUUAUAAGAAGGGGAUGAGGAUAGAUUUUCAUUUGCAUUUAUACACUCUGACAGAGGAGCUGCAGUCAGCUCUAAGAUUCCCUCUCAGUAAUUUGUUUUCAUGAUUCUGAUUUUAUGAUGCUCAGAGACCAGAUACAUUUCACAAUUUGCAAUUUAAAAAACCUUCUACUCACCCUUUGCACGCACAUUCCUUAUGCAUUAAAAAAAUGAAAAAAAAAAUCAAAAUAGAUACUGGCAACUCUCAGAAUUUUUGGAAAGAAGAAUCUUCUAUGAGACUCUGAGGCUCAAGAGGCUCAACAGCUUCUGCAAUACAGUAAAACACGAGAAAAGGACAGAUAACUUAAGUAGCCCUUUUUUAGAGUAGAAGACAAUAAAAAUGCUCCUUUUAUUUCCUUCCAGAAGUGAUCUGAAUAUCUACCUGGUCACAGCGUGACUUAACACAACAAGAUUUAGUCACUAAUGCAGUUUGCACAGUUUUGAAUCCAUACAGUACAAUGGAAAUGCAUGCAAGUUCCCUUAAUCCUAGGCUCAAAAUGAAGCAGUGCUCUUUGAGUGAAUUAAGCACAGGAAUUAGUUUACUGCCUUCUAUACUGUUUUUAUCUUUUUCCCUCAUUCAUUCAUGAUUUGCUUUUGCUCAUUCAUCCUCUCCCAGGUCCAUAUUAUUUCAAGUCCUUCAAGAAGGGGAUUAGGACCGCCACAGAGCUGCUGAUCCAAGCCCAGUCCUACCAUAACUUAGCACUUGAUUCAUCCAUGAAAAUGCAGCUCAAGACCUGUGUGGUUACAGCUCCACAUGCUUCAUUCAGAAACAUCACCUAUCAAAGCCACAUGCCAGAAAAGCACCCGAAAUGCUUGAUUCCAUAAAAGCCAGUCAUAACCCACAGGUUGAGACAGUCUCACCAGAAAAAAAAAAAGAAAUAAAAAACAACAACAACAAAAUUUUGGAAUUAUUUCUCCAUAAUAGAAUGCGAGUCUUAAAGUUGACCUUCAGGCCAUGCCAUGAAACCAAAAAAAAAAAGAAGAAAGAAAGAAAAAGCAAACACUCUAGACAUGGAUGGAUGGAUGCUCUGUGCUUUCUGCUGUCUCCUAAACCCCUUCCAAGUCUCCAUCAGAAGGUAGAAUGACUUGCAGCCCAUUUCACGCAACCUGGUAACGGUAACCGGAGAUCUGUCCUACAAAAGGUUUCGUCCCUCACUCCAUGGGAGACCCCCUCAGAACAAGAAACAUUUUUCUCACAGGAGAGUCUCAGAGAGUCUAUGAAUUCCUGUUGGAUGAAAGUUUUCUAAUUUCCUUUCUGCAAAUACCAGGGCAUUUGUUUCUCUUAUGUAAUUUCCAGGGAAUCAGUUGCAUGACCCAAUUGCUAUUCUGUUGGUGGACCAAGGUGCCUUACCGUCAGUCGCCCUUGGUGAGAACGUACUCAAGGGCUGACACAUGACUGCAGCGGAACUGGACAAUUCCUGGAAGGAAAAGGGUUAAGAGCCAGUAAAAACAGCAUAAAUUUACACAUGACCUAGUGUGAUUACACUUUUAUUCUCUUCCGUGCAAGGAACAACAACAAUGACAACCUCCAGAACUCAUGCUUCUGGUCCAGAAACCUCCCAAGUGGACAUGUUUUCCCCCAGUUUAGAUGAUCUCAGCAACAUUCUGGUUAAAAAGAGUCUGGAGGCAAAGACAAGCCCUCACCACUGAGCUCUUUCUCAAAAGAAUGCAAAGGUUCCUACCAUUAUCGGAAUAUCAUCACACUGUUGGGCUCAAGGGAGCGGGUUUGUGAGACCCGGUUCGUGAUGGUUUGAAUUUGGCAGAUAAGUUUUAGAAUUGUUCAAGUCUGCCCACAUCUUAAC
RNAcentral lists this long non-coding RNA (3191 nucleotides) under Marmota monax (woodchuck). The record is from RNAcentral. Lineage: Eukaryota; Metazoa; Chordata; Mammalia; Rodentia; Sciuridae.